GGGAAUGCACAUAUGCAAAUGUAGUGCUCUUGACGAUAAAAGAUGUUGUCCUAAGUUAUAAUAUAUGAAUAUUAUUAAAUAUAAUGAUGCUUAACAUUAAUAAAUGAUGUAUUAGAUACGUUGUAUAAGCAUACUAAGCACGCACAAGAGAGACGAAUCAGGCGUGUGACGAAUGAACGUAGAAACGGCGUGCCAAGUGUAAAUAAACUUAAAAAUUGUUUCAAUUCAAUUGAAAUGAAUAUUAUAAGAUAUGGAAUGGAUUUAAUAUAAAACCAAUAAGUAGUCCUAGCAAGACUUAAG
RNAcentral lists this long non-coding RNA (300 nucleotides) under Panax ginseng (ginseng). RNAcentral's name for it is "long non-coding RNA (PGIN_LNC015677)". Lineage: Eukaryota; Viridiplantae; Streptophyta; Magnoliopsida; Apiales; Araliaceae. The record is from RNAcentral.